This 2435-nucleotide long non-coding RNA is filed under the name Lathyrus oleraceus (garden pea). RNAcentral describes it as "Pisum sativum (pea) long non-coding RNA (PSAT_LNC003706)". The record is from RNAcentral. Lineage: Eukaryota; Viridiplantae; Streptophyta; Magnoliopsida; Fabales; Fabaceae.
ACAUAACAAUUUACAUUCAAGGAUUUAAAUCAAAGGAUUGCAAAUUUGUAAAUUGGAAUGAAAAUAUACUUAUCUUAGAAAACAAGUCACACAUUACAUUCAAAAGACAAAAUCUCAUUACAACAUCAAAAAUACUUGAAAAAAACCAAAGUUACAAAUUACGUAAAAUAAACAUUUUUGACCCAUGGUUGGCUUUCGGUCGAUUGUUGACUUUUGGUCAAACUAAUCCUAAGCCUACUUUUGUCUUUAUCCUCAUUGAUUCAUCACGUGAUCCUCAUAAUGUUCUUGAUGUCAUGCCAACUUUGAUAAUCCCAUGCCAAAACCACUUCAUGACCAAGACUCCAUGUAUGCCCAAACCUGCAUGUUUCAAACAAGAACAAGCAUCAACAUUAAAACAGUCCUGCAUAAAACAUCACCUACACAUUGCAAGCCAUACAUUUCAUUCACAUCAGACUAAGCCAUACAUUCAAUGCCCAAAUUCAAAACCAAACCAAGCAUUUAAAACUACACAACUCAACCCAUACGCAUACACAAGUAUACCAUGACAAUUCCAUGUUACCAAGCUUGUAAAUCCAUCACCAUUGCAGCAACACAAGAAAAUAAUUCCACAACACACAUAUCAUCAUAACAUACAUUAAAUCAUCCACCUCAUAGUUACAAUAACCCAAAUGCAAUGCAUCCUAAAGUCAUACCAUACAUCAAAACAACCAUACACAUCAACAACUUAGUACACAUACACGUACAUAAUAGUUUGGAUAAAGCAUACAACCAUAUCUUAAUAUAAACAUAUCAUUACAGCCCAUGCAUCAUGGCCUAAUAUAGACUAUAAGCAUCAUCCACUUUAAAACAAAAGCAUCAUGAUAUCAAUCCAACCAAUAUGUUAUGAAUCAUCAUAUCAAAGACCAAUUCAUUCACAUAAAUCACUACACCAAAGUUCAUCACACGUCCAAAGUCAUCACAGUGCCUUAACUUUAACUAUUAAGAUAACUAACCAAAUCAGUUAGCAGCUAAACCAAUCCAAUUGCCCUAACCAAUUAAACCAACCCCUAACUGUCAGUUUAGUUAACACAUAAGCUAACUAACUUACCAUCAAAGUUAGUUGCAAAUUAACUUGUAGCUUCCAAUAACUAACCUAGUAGAUAACUCUUACUAACAUAAUAAUUCAAACAUUCACUAACAAUUCAAAAAAAUAGCUUAACAAGUUAAUCUUAUUAACUAUCACAUUUCUAACUGUCAAACAUUAACUAAUAGUACCCUAACUCUUUUAUUUAUCAGUUCAGUUAAAUCCUAACAAACACCAACUAACUAAAAUACUAAUUCAAUUAGCAUAACAUCAACUAACAUAACUAAUUGAUCCCUCCCCAACUAACAUAACAGUUCCACUAAUGAAAUUAUAACUAAGUCCAAAAUUUCUAACUCAAUUCCCAUCCAAUUUCCAACUAACUGUCAAACUAACUAUGUUAGUUAACCUAACUAAUUUGCUAAUGAAACUAACUAAAUUUAACAACUAACCUAACUAUAACUUCCUUUACCCUAAAGUUACCUAAAAUAGUUAUGAAUCUCCUUCCAUAUUCGAUUUUCAUCCCCUUUAUAUAAACUACACUCUCCUCAAUCAUCUUCAACAACAACAAUUCACUCUCAUCAAAAUUCACCAUCACUCUCACUAUGCAAACUCUCUUCAUUCUCUCUUCUCACAGCCUCACAUCCAUACUCAAAACUCAAAUCACCAUUGUUGAGCAAAAAUUCACCUUGAAGUUUUGGUUCAAUUGAGAUAAGCCUUGCCUCUCUACACUUUUCACUCAACAACAACAACCGCACAUAACAAUUCAUAAAAGAAGAAAAAGAAUAUGAAUAAGAAAUCAAAAUAAGAAGCAAUGGAUUCGAAGUGUUUACCUGUUAGUAUAUCUGGUCUUCUCAUCUUCAACAAUUUCAAAAAUUCCCAGGACGUGCCUCUGUUAUAUAGGUAGGAUAUUCAUUUCUCCCUUGUUUUGCUCCAAAUUGUUACCGGUAUGUAGACGUUAUAGAGGGUAAUCAAAGCCUAGAGGUUUCAUGUUUUGAUUCCCAUCACACUGUGUUUAAUUUUAGUUUGUGUAUUAUAGGGUUUUUGGUGUUUUAUGUUUGAAAUGAAGGGUUUAGUGGAAUUGAGUUGAGUUGAGGGUAAGAGGUGCAUAUAGGAGGUUAAAACGAAUCAAUUGUGGGGGGUUUUGGCCGUUUUUGGGUUGCUCAGUCGCCUCCGACGCAGUGGAGCAAUUUCCAGUGAAGGGACAUGUAGAAGAGGAUAUGAGCAUUUGCUUGAAAUGAAAAUGAAAUGAGUGAAGUCUGAGACCUUUCACCCAUUUUCCCCAUGCAUUGGGCUUCAACUCCAAGCCUAAAAGGCUUUGCUAUCUGAUACACUUUCUUGCUAACACACCUCCCACCUCCUGAACUCAAACAAG